This 891-nucleotide ribosomal RNA is filed under the name Polypedates leucomystax (Java whipping frog). RNAcentral's name for it is "partial 16S ribosomal RNA". It matches the Rfam family "Bacterial large subunit ribosomal RNA", at positions 1112 to 2607 of the family's 2925-position model. Lineage: Eukaryota; Metazoa; Chordata; Amphibia; Anura; Rhacophoridae. The record is from RNAcentral.
GCAGCCACCUUUUAAAACGCGUCAAAGCGUAACCUUAGCCCCCAAAAUACCAUUAAUUUUCAUGAACCCCUAAUCUAUAAUGAAUGACUCCAUAUUUAUAUGGAAGACACCAUGCUAGGAUUAGUAACAAGAAUUUAUAAUUCUCCAAAAUGCAAAUAUAGACCAACAUGGAUGGACCAUUGGUAGUUACCGAACCUAAAUUCAAUGCAACAACACCUACAAGAAAACUCUGCAGUACUUACUCGUUAACCUAACACCAGCGCAUUACAGGAAAGAUUUAAAAAAAGAGAAGGAAUUCGGCAAAUGACGGCCCCGCCUGUUUACCAAAAACAUCGCCUCUUGACUUAUAAUAAGAGGUCCAGCCUGCCCAGUGAAUUUUAAACGGCCGCGGUAUCCUAACCGCGCGAAGGUAGCAUAAUCACUUGUUCUUUAAAUGGGGACUCGUAUCAACGGCAUCACGAGGGUUUUACUGUCUCCUCUUUUUGAUCAGUGAAAUUGAUCUUCCCGUGAAGAAGCGGGAAUAAAUUUAUAAGACGAGAAGACCCCAUGGAGCUUUAAACCAAAUAACAACUUAACCACUUAUCCCAUAAUAAAUUUAAGCCCUGUUAUAAGGUUUUUGGUUGGGGUGACCGCGGAGUAAAACACAUCCUCCACGACGAAAAAAACAGAAUUUUUAUUUAAGAACCACACUUCUAGAAAUUAGUAUACUAACGUUUACUGACCCGACAAUCGAUCAACGGACCAAGUUACCCUGGGGAUAACAGCGCAAUCUACUUCAAGAGCUCAUAUCGACAAGUAGGCUUACGACCUCGAUGUUGGAUCAGGGUAUCCCGGUGGUGCAGCCGCUACCGAAGGUUCGUUUGUUCAACGAUUAAAACCCUACGUGAUCUG